This 602-nucleotide ribosomal RNA is filed under the name Clarireedia homoeocarpa. RNAcentral's name for it is "SSU rRNA". It matches the Rfam family "Eukaryotic small subunit ribosomal RNA", at positions 555 to 1162 of the family's 1831-position model. Lineage: Eukaryota; Fungi; Ascomycota; Leotiomycetes; Helotiales; Rutstroemiaceae. The record is from RNAcentral.
GCAAGUCUGGUGCCAGCAGCCGCGGUAAUUCCAGCUCCAAUAGCGUAUAUUAAAGUUGUUGCAGUUAAAAAGCUCGUAGUUGAACCUUGGGCCUGGCUGACCGGUCCGCCUCACCGCGUGCACUGGUUCGGCCGGGCCUUUCCUUCUGGGGAGCCGCAUGCCCUUCACUGGGUGUGUCGGGGAACCAGGACUUUUACUUUGAAAAAAUUAGAGUGUUCAAAGCAGGCCUAUGCUCGAAUACAUUAGCAUGGAAUAAUAGAAUAGGACGUGUGGUUCUAUUUUGUUGGUUUCUAGGACCGCCGUAAUGAUUAAUAGGGAUAGUCGGGGGCAUCAGUAUUCAAUUGUCAGAGGUGAAAUUCUUGGAUUUAUUGAAGACUAACUACUGCGAAAGCAUUUGCCAAGGAUGUUUUCAUUAAUCAGUGAACGAAAGUUAGGGGAUCGAAGACGAUCAGAUACCGUCGUAGUCUUAACCAUAAACUAUGCCGACUAGGGAUCGGGCGAUGUUAUCUUUUUGACUCGCUCGGCACCUCACGAGAAAUCAAAGUUUUGGGUUCUGGGGGGAGUAUGGUCGCAAGGCUGAAACUUAAAGGAAUUGACGGAAG